Wyeomyia smithii (pitcher-plant mosquito) is the source of this 489-nucleotide long non-coding RNA. RefSeq lists it as uncharacterized. The record is from RefSeq and is a predicted model, not a curated record. The transcript is spliced from 3 exons. NCBI's taxonomy places the organism in Eukaryota, Metazoa, Arthropoda, Insecta, Diptera, Culicidae.
UCGUUGGGAUUUAAACCUACUUGUCAAGUAAAGAGAACUAAUCUUACAACUAAUUUAGUUGCUUACUAACAGACUAUGAGGAAAGCUUAUCGUAGCAAUUGGGGAUUGCAGCGAUUUUUCUCGAAUGUUGGGAAUAAUUUUAUUUGACAUAGCUUCUAACAUUUCGAUACCAAAUUCAAUUCUGAAUCCUUCAAAGCGUUUUUUUCUAGUUGAACAUCAACUCGAUCAGUUGCUGGAGGAGUGAUUACUGAUGAUGCGGGAGAAGAGGAUGGAACAAUGUAGCUACAACAAAACGACAACACAGAAAAAGAAAGGUGUAAAAGAUUGUGUAUUAGGCCACUUUCUGCAUAGUUUUAAUUUAUAUAUAUUGUUUAUUCAAAAGCAAGCUUAAUCAGUAAUCUGUGAAUCUGUAUUAGGACAUAUAAAAAGAUUCAACAUCUUGUAUUCCUACUGAAUGUACGAAAAUAGAAUGAUUUUUAUUUAUUAAAA